GUGCGCCGGGAGACCGGUUAGAGAUCAAGGGGUGAAAGUCCCCGACCAUUGAAGGACCAGCAAUCCACAAGGUCCCCGAGUCAUGCGUUGCAUACCGCGAGGUAUGGGGCGAAGCGUUGACAGGGGUGUUGACAGGCCAGCCAUUGAGCCACGAAAUGUAUAUUAAAUUACCGGGUGCCGACGUUGUACUGUUAACGGAAGGCAACAUCAUAGGGUGCGAUACUGCGAGUGCCACAUGGACCCGGCGGGGUCUGAGACCCUGGCAUGUCAAUACGAUCUCUACGCGGGAACCGGGAGAUCUCCCCUCUGACCAUCUGCCAGUGUCGGAGAUGGCCCGCACCGGGAAGACGAGGAGUCAUAGCCGGUGAUGUACGGAGAGGAGAAGUCGGACUCGCUCAUAGUAGCGGCGAAGCAGGCGAACAACCCGAAAGGAGCGGAGUCAGUGGAGCGAAGGAGCGGGGCCAAGGGGAACGCGGAACAGCCACACAUGCGCCGGACACAGAGCCGGGAAAGCAUGUCACAGAGGCUGUCACGCGUGCGGGAAGCUGCGAAGCAGCGGAAGAAAGAACGGUUUACAGCAUUGUUCCACCUGCUGACAGUCGAAGCACUGGAAGCCGCAUUCCUCUCCCUGAGCAGGAAAGCGGCCGCCGAGUGGAUGGCAUCAGGUGGAUGGACUACGCCGGAAACAUGAAGAACAACAUAACAGAUCUGCACCGGAGGCUACAUCAGGGCAGCUACAGGGCGCAGCCCGGCAGGCGUCACUACAUCCCAAAAGCGGAUGGAAAACAACGCCCGCUCGGCAUCGCCUCGCUGGAGGACAAGAUCGUCCAGUAUGCGCUGGUGAAAAUCCUGAACGCAGUCUAUGAAAACGACUUUAUGGGGUUCUCAUACGGGUUCAGACCCGGGCGAAGCCAGCACGAUGCACUGGACGCACUGGCCACAGGGCUGGUACGCACUAACGUAAACUGGGUACUGGAUGCCGACAUCAGUCAGUUCUUCGACAGGGUGAGCCACGAAUGGCUGAUCAGGUUCACAGAGCAUCGGAUCGGCGACCGGAGGGUAAUCAGGCUCAUACGUAAGUGGCUCACAGCCGGGACGUCGGAGGAGGGUCAAUGGCGAGCAACGGAGGAAGGCACCCCACAGGGUGCGGUCAUCUCACCGCUGCUGGCAAACAUAUACCUCCACUACGUCUUCGAUCUGUGGGCGCAUCAGUGGCGACGUCGCUAUGCCACAGGCAAUGUGGUAAUGGUCAGAUACGCCGAUGACAUCGUCAUCGGGUUCGACAAACGAUACGAUGCCCGGCGCUUCCGUAUAGCCAUGCAGCGCAGACUGAGGGAGUUCGGACUCACGGUUCACCCGGAGAAAACCCGUCUGAUGGAGUUCGGCCGCUUCGCUGCCGAAAACCGUGCCAUCAGGGGAAAAGGCAAACCAGAAACGUUCAACUUCCUCGGGUUCACGCACAUCAGCGGGAAAGAUCGCAACGGCAGGUUCAUGCUGAUACGAAAGACCCGCCGGGAUCGGAUGACGGCAACUCUGAAAGCCAUCAAAGACGGUCUGCGAAGGCGCUGGCAUUACUCAAUCCCCGAACAGGGAAAAUGGCUCAGGAGAGUGGUUCAGGGAUACCUGAACUAUCACUCGGUACCGGGCAACUUCCCCACCAUGCAGAAGUUCAGGACACACGUAACAAACCUCUGGCGCCGGGCGCUCAGGCGCAGGAGCCAGAAGGAUGAUACGACCUGGACGAAAGCAAACAAACUGGCAGCCGCAUGGCUACCAAGGGUUCGGGUUCUUCAUCCAUGGCCUGUGGAGCGGUUCACCGCCAGACACCCGAGGCAGGAGCCCGGUGCGUAAAUCGCGCACGCCGGGAUCUGUGCGGGGGGUAUCCGGUAACGGGUAUCCCUACCGCGAC
This 1909-nucleotide non-coding RNA is filed under the name Klebsiella pneumoniae. Lineage: Bacteria; Pseudomonadati; Pseudomonadota; Gammaproteobacteria; Enterobacterales; Enterobacteriaceae. The record is from RNAcentral.